This is a long non-coding RNA of Macrobrachium nipponense, 803 nucleotides long. RefSeq lists it as uncharacterized. The record is from RefSeq and is a predicted model, not a curated record. The transcript has 2 exons. NCBI's taxonomy places the organism in Eukaryota, Metazoa, Arthropoda, Malacostraca, Decapoda, Palaemonidae.
UAGUCUUUCAUAGCUCUAUCUCCGUCAACUACAUAUGUAGUUGACGGAGGUUGAUUUUUGUGUAAGAUACUCCUGGGCGUUAAUGGUUCUUUGUUGUAUUAGACAUGAUGUCGCUGUGUAGUAUCUUGUGCCCGCAUCAAGAUGUCUGAACUUGUGCUAUGCAGUUAGUCAGCCGGCAACCGAUGUGGAAUGGCAUUCUUUUUUCCCGGGAAUGGCGUUCUUCUUCUUGACUUCUUCGAAGAACUUUGGAAAACUUUUGCUACCAAUGAAUCUUGGCAGGCAUUGAACUGAUCUUGGAAGCAUGGCCGCCCCAUUUCAGAUCUACCCAAGACAACAUAAGUCUUAUGUCUUGAGGACAUGUUGCCGGAAAUACAACAAACAAAUCAUUGUCACGGUUUCUUAAUUUUAAGGUUGCUAAUGUUAAGAGCCUUGGUUAACUCUUGGUUAAGGUUAAUUUAGGUUAUGUUUAGUCUUCGGGUUUUGGUGGUUUUCGUGGUUUAUUAAUUUUUCUGUAAACUAACAUUUAAGUGGCCACGUUUUUUUUUCAGCCUGCAACGUGGUUACCUAAAAUUGGGCUCCUCCUCGUUCUUUUGAACCAGGUGCUUACCGCUUUAGACAGGGAGCAGUAUACAGAUUACAGGGCUUACAAAACGGCACCUGCAACUAUAAAAAUUAGUUUAGUGAACUAUUUGUGCAAGCUACCUUUUUGCUUAAUUUUGUAGUUUAAUAAUUUAGGGUUACACGUAAUUUGGGUUUUGCAAGCAAAUUUUUGUUGUAGGGAUUAGUUUAAUUUCUCUACAGGA